UAAAGCUCGUAGUUGGAUCUGUGUCCCGCGCCGCCGGUUCACCGCCUGUCGGUGUUAAACUGGCGUGUAUGCGGGACGUCCUGUCGGUGGCGGUCCGGGGCYUCGUUGACCGUAGGGGCAGUCCAGGUUUAUCCUGCGUCGGUCCUGAAGGCCGGCGUAUGCUUCCGGCCGCCUUGUCAAUCCCGCCGCGGUGCUCUUCACCGAGUGUCGAGGCGGGCCGGCACGUUUACUUUGAACAAAUUAGAGUGCUUUAAGCAGGCUCUUUCCCGCCUGUAUACUGUGUGCAUGGAAUAAUGGAAUAGGACCUCGGUUCUAUUUUGUUGGUUUUCGGAAUCUGAGGUAAUGAUCAAUGGGGACAGGCGGGGGCAUUCGUAUUGCGACGUUAGAGGUGAAAUUCUUGGAUCGUCGCAAGACGGACCGAAGCGAAAGCAUUUGCCAAGUAUGUUCUCGUCGAUCAAGAACGAAAGUUAGAGGUUCGAAGGCGAUCAGAUACCGCCCUAGUUCUAACCAUAAACUAUGCCUGCCAGCGAUCCGCCGGCGUUCCUCCGAUGACCCGGCGGGCAGCUUCCGGGAAACCAGAGCUUUUGGGUUCCGGGGGAAGUAUGGUUGCAAAGCUGAAACUUAAAGGAAUUGACGGAAGGGCACCACCAGGAGUGGAGCCUGCGGCUUAAUUUGACUCAACACGGGAAAACUCACCAGGCCCGGACACCGGAAGGAUUGACAGAUUGAGAGCUCUUUCUUGAUUCGGUGGGUGGUGGUGCAUGGCCGUUCUUAGUUGGUGGAGCGAUUUGUCUGGUUAAUUCCGAUAACGAACGAGACUCUAGCCUACUAACUAGACGUAUCCGGUAUCCACAAUCGUGCUACCGGCGAGCAAAUUUCUUCUUAGAGGGACAGGCGGCUUCUAGCCGCACGAGACUGAGCAAUAACAGGUCUGUGAUGCCCUUAGAUGUCCUGGGCCGCACGCGCGCUACACUGAAGGAAUCAGCGUGUCUUCCCUGUCCGAAAGGACCGGGUAACCCGCUGAACCUCCUUCGUGCUAGGGAUUGGGGCUUGCAAUUGUUCCCCAUGAACGAGGAAUUCCCAGUAAGCGCGAGUCAUAAGCUCGCGUUGAUUACGUCCCUGCCCUUUGUACACACCGCCCGUCGCUACUACCGAUUGAAUGAUUUAGUGAGGUCUUCGGACUGGUGCGCGGAGGUGGCUUCUGUUGCCUCCGAUGUUGUCGGAAAGAUGACCAAACUUGAUCAUUUAGAGGAAGUAAAAGUCGUAACAAGGUUUCCGUAGGG
Molecule: ribosomal RNA, 1283 nt
Filed under: Cubana sp. 2 PCC-2008
Lineage: Eukaryota; Metazoa; Arthropoda; Insecta; Hemiptera; Cixiidae
Description: SSU rRNA
Rfam family: Eukaryotic small subunit ribosomal RNA
Source: RNAcentral